Arabidopsis thaliana (thale cress) is the source of this 246-nucleotide RNA transcript. RefSeq lists it as uncharacterized. Lineage: Eukaryota; Viridiplantae; Streptophyta; Magnoliopsida; Brassicales; Brassicaceae. The transcript has a single exon. The record is from RefSeq.
CAGACACUCAUUCAGACACUUUUGUCACCUCACUUACUCUCUCUGUCUCUCCCCCCUCUCCCUCUCUCAUAUUUCUCUUUUUUCUAUAAACAUAUUUCAGAAAUGGAGUUAUUGUCUCCCAACAAUUCCAGGAGAACCAAACAAUGGCUUCCUCCGAGAAGAGGACAGGUCAAGAUCAUGAUCGUCCGCAAACUCCUCAAAUCGACGGCCUCGAUCGUUUCACUGUGGAAGAGGCGAGAUUGUAAA